GCGCUCGCUUCAGCAGCACUUAUGCUAAAAUUGGAAAGAUACAGAGAAGAUUAGCAUGGCCCCUGCACAAGGAUGACAUGUAAAUUCAUGAAGUGUUCCAUAAAAUA
Lemur catta (Ring-tailed lemur) is the source of this 107-nucleotide small nuclear RNA. The record is from RefSeq and is a predicted model, not a curated record. Lineage: Eukaryota; Metazoa; Chordata; Mammalia; Primates; Lemuridae.